CCCAGCCGGCACAUGACCGACCUUCAACGUUGAAAUAUGGUUGAAAUAAGGUCAGUUGUGGUUUCAACGUUGAAACAACGUUGAUUCAACGUUUAAAGCUGAAUGGUUGAAAAACAUCCAGCACAUGACCAACUUUCAAUGUUGAAAUAUGGUUGAAAUAAGGUCAGUUGUGGUUUCAACGUUGAAACAACGUUGAUUCAACGUUUAAAGAUGAACUGUUGAAAAACUUCCAGCACAUGACCAACUUUCAACAUUGAAAUAUGGUUGAAAUAAGGUCAGUUGUUUUAAUGAAACAACGUUAAAAAUGUUUAAUGCUAAAUGGUAGAAAAAGGUUAACAAGCUUUUAAAUUAUUUAUAUUAAAUUAUUUAAAUUAAUUAUUAUUUUAAUAGCAUUUAAAAAUAUUUUAGUCAUGAUACCUAUUCUAAAAUCUAAAGGUAUAUGUUAAAUAUUAUCAUCAUUAACAACAAUAAAACUAUACAUUUCGCUGCUUUAUCACACUGAAACAACUCCCAUUGGUAGUUUUAUUUUAUUACUUCUAUCAUGAUUGGUUAAUCUGGCUGUCAUUCAGGAAACUGGACAACGAAUCGGUUCGCGCUUUUCUACAUUUAAAAAUAUGACCGUUGUUGUCGUCUUUCUGUGAGUGAGGCGGCUAACUGUGAGCUGCUGCUCGUUAUAACUGACUGCUCGGUCGGUCCCGAAUUAUUUCAUAUUUGCCUGUACAUUUUUUAUUUAUUUUGAGCGAAUUUGAGUCGUGACCUGUCAAUGGAGUACAAAAACUGUGAACACAAGAAAGGUCAGGUGUUCUGCGAGGUCCUGAAAACAUCCUGUCAAAAUGAGGUAAGAAAAUCGCUAACUUUAUCUUUAUUAUCUUUUGAAAAUAGUAAAGUAUUACCAGAGUUUACAAAUGGGUAGUUAAAAGGACAUGUAACCUGCAGAUAAAUAAAUACCCGUGUGUCUAUUUUUGCAUUGCUUUAUCACAGCUGAUCAAGUUAGAUGCUCACCUAAUGUGUUACUGAGUCAUCGAGGAUCCAGCUUGUUCUUGAAACAUUGAAGUUUGCCCUCUGCAAGUGAACGACGCCUUGUGGUGCCAUCCCAGAGAGGUUCACAAUCACUCUCACGGACCUUUUCCUGGACUGUGCCCAGCUGGUGGAAUGACCUCCCAAUCUCAAUCCGAACUGCUUAGUCUUUACUCAUUUUCAAGAAACAUCUUAAUACUCAUCUUUUUCACCAGAACUUAACCAACUAAGGCUAGCACUUUUCCUUCUAUUCUUGUCUUUUAUAUAUAUAAAAAAAAAAAACCUGGCUAUGCGUUCUGUACUAGACUAACUGAGACUUGUCAUGGCACUUGUAUACUGUUGUUGUUCGCUUGUACACCUGACUGCUUCUGUUCUUCUCAUUUGUAAGUCGCUUUGGAUAAAAGCAUCUGUUAAAUGAUUAAAUGUAAAUGUUUAUACAGGACAGUACAGAAAGUGCACAAGUGGGAGAGAGUGGAGGGGACGGCGUCAGAAAGGACCGAGCGCUGGGACACUUUCAAGGAUCACCUGAAGCACAACCACACUGUAUACACUAAGGCUGCUGGUUCUAACAUUUUAGAGUGCCCUGCGGUAGAAAUCUCAUUCUGCAUUCCCCACGGUAAAGAAGACACAGUCCGGGGGGGUUCCCAUUAGAAAUCAACGGGUGGAAGGUUCCCUUCUCGAACUGUUCAACACAUUUUCACUGCACCAAUGUACACAACUCUUGUAAUGAGACACAUUACUAAAACAUGUUUUUGACAGAAACUGUAGGUUUCCACCAAAAUAAAAGAUCCACUGGUUUCAGUCAUAAAGGUACAAGGGUUUGUCUUGUAAGUGCUGCAAAAAAAUAUGCAUUUAUGUGCCAAAUUAUUUCACAAAAACCUUUAAAUAUUAUUGUAUUUGGAUUGUUCUACUACCUGUUUUUAGCAUUACCUCCAUGCAUACUCUGCAUAAUAAAGUGUGG
Long non-coding RNA from Carassius gibelio (silver crucian carp), 1978 nucleotides. RefSeq lists it as uncharacterized. NCBI's taxonomy places the organism in Eukaryota, Metazoa, Chordata, Actinopteri, Cypriniformes, Cyprinidae. The transcript has 3 exons. The record is from RefSeq and is a predicted model, not a curated record.